UUUCCGUAGGUGAACCUUCGGAAGGAUCAUUACCUAGUACCGCUAUGCAAAAGGGGACACCCCCGCUUGCAGGUAUUUACCACCCUUGACUUUGAGCACCUUUUCGUUUCCUCGGCAGGUUCGCCUGCCAGCAGAGGACCCUAUAAACACUUGUAGUUUGCAGUAUUUGUCUGAAAACAUACCAAUAAUCAAAACUUUCAACAAUGGAUCUCUUGGUUCUGGCAUCGAUGAAGAACGCAGC
Molecule: unclassified non-coding RNA, 241 nt
Filed under: uncultured fungus
Lineage: Eukaryota; Fungi
Description: sequence contains ITS1, 5.8S rRNA gene
Rfam family: 5.8S ribosomal RNA (bases 193-241)
Source: RNAcentral